RNAcentral lists this RNase P RNA (340 nucleotides) under Roseateles amylovorans. RNAcentral describes it as "Roseateles sp. BIM B-1768 RNase P RNA component class A". It matches the Rfam family "Bacterial RNase P class A". Rfam says of the family: Ribonuclease P (RNase P) is a ubiquitous endoribonuclease, found in archaea, bacteria and eukarya as well as chloroplasts and mitochondria. Its best characterised activity is the generation of mature 5'-ends of tRNAs by cleaving the 5'-leader elements of precursor-tRNAs. Cellular RNase Ps are ribonucleoproteins. The record is from RNAcentral. Lineage: Bacteria; Pseudomonadati; Pseudomonadota; Betaproteobacteria; Burkholderiales; Sphaerotilaceae.
GAAGCGGGCCAGACCGCCGCUGGUGCGAUCGUGGAAACACGGCACUGGAGGAAGGUCCGGACUGCAUAGAGCGGCGUAGCAGCUAACGGCUGCCCGGCGUAAGCCGAGGAUCAGAGCAACAGAGACGAGUCGAUGCAGGUGCAAGCCCGCAUCGGGUGAAACGGGCAAUCUCUACGCGCAGCAACACCAAGUAGGCCAGCGUUGAUGCGGCUCGCAGAGCUGGCGGGUAGGUGGCACCGAGCCGGGCAGUGAUGUCCGGCCAAGAGGAAUGGCGGUCACAUGGACAGAUUCGCAAGAAUCCGUCCGUGCACAAAAUCCGGCCUAUCGGCCCGCUUCACAC